Molecule: long non-coding RNA, 368 nt
Organism: Corticium candelabrum
Lineage: Eukaryota; Metazoa; Porifera; Homoscleromorpha; Homosclerophorida; Plakinidae
Exons: 3
Source: RefSeq, a predicted model, not a curated record
UUUCUAUUUUGUUGGUUAGGCGCUGGUAGCUUGUAUGUUCAGGCGUCUGCUUUCAACAUCAUGUCUGAAGUGAUAAAGCGGGACCAAAUUGUGCAAGAAAUAUAUAGUACUGAAAAAGUGUAUACUUCUUAUCUUAAUUUGGUAGUGCAACUAUUUCUGUGUCCUCUUCGAGUGUCUUGUUUAUUGCCUGACACAGUUCUUAGUGCAAUGUUUGCUAACAUUGAAGCUAUUCUGGCUAUAAACAUGGAACUUGUUAUUGCAAUGAGGGAAAUGUCAGUUGGGAAUGCUUUUCUUCGUUUGGCUCCUUUCCUCAGACUUUACUCUCUUUAUGCAAAUAACUUCCAAAGAGCGAAUCAACUUGUUUUGGU